Molecule: ribosomal RNA, 462 nt
Filed under: uncultured bacterium
Lineage: Bacteria
Description: partial 16S ribosomal RNA
Rfam family: Bacterial small subunit ribosomal RNA
Source: RNAcentral
AUGAACGCUGACAGAAUGCUUAACACCUGCAAGUCGAUGGGGAAGUGGUGCUUGCACCCUGGUAACCAUGGCGGACGGGUGAGUAACGCGUAAGGAACUUACCUGCGGGACCGGGAUAACAGCAGGAAACUGCUGACAAGACCGGAUAAGGUCAUUAAGCUGCAUAGCUUAGUGAUGAAAGGAGACGCCUGCGGAGAGCCUUGCGUCCUAUUAGCUAGUUGGAGGGGUAACGGCCCACCAAGGCGAAGAUAGGUAGCCGGCCUGAGAGGGUGGACGGCCACAAGGGGACUGAGAUACGGCCCUUACUCCUACGGGAGGCAGCAGUGGGGAAUAUUGGACAAUGGGGGCAACCCUGAUCCAGCAAUUCUGUGUGCACGAAGACGGUUUUCGGAUUGUAAAGUGCUUUCAGCAGGGAAGAAGGAAGUGACGGUACCUGCAGAAGAAGCGACGGCUAAAUACGUG